Long non-coding RNA from Tarenaya hassleriana, 1022 nucleotides. RefSeq lists it as uncharacterized. The record is from RefSeq and is a predicted model, not a curated record. NCBI's taxonomy places the organism in Eukaryota, Viridiplantae, Streptophyta, Magnoliopsida, Brassicales, Cleomaceae. The transcript has 4 exons.
CAAACUCAAAGUGACCGUCAAGGUAAAGUGUCUUCAACGAAGAGAUGCUGCGAGAGAAACAACAAUCUGAUGUGAAGGCUAUGCAGCUCAGGACCAUCAAGCACAUGCCAAGUUGAAGGAAAAAGUCACCAGAAAGAAAGAUGCAGCAUAUCUUUGAUCUUUUCACAACAGUUGCAGCCACAAUCUUGCCUUUAUGGAAGAAAAGGCAAACACGAUCAUGCCAAAACACUUCUGCUUUGAAACUUACCGUAUGAAGGACGCUUUUAGGACUUAGCCAUGGCGUAUCUGCUUUUGGGUCAGAUUAGAGGCAAAAGGGAUUGGUAUCUGAUUCAUCUUGGGAGGAAAAGGAUGGUAAGCACUGAACCUGAGGGGUCCGACGUGGAAUGGGGAGGCAAAGAUGAUCAUGUUGGGACCCUCAACUUCAAGCGGGCCAAUUUCCACAUUCCAAUGAAGGCAAACAUAAAAAUGAGGCUUUGACAGCUUAAGGGAAGCAACCAAUGCAUUACUCUUUCUGUUACUGAGUUUGAAGCAUGCAGACAAAGUCACCCAGCAGUUCGAUAGCAAAGGGAGGCCUCAGCUCAAGACAAAAUCAUCUGAUAUUGUCUAUUUAGCUUGGUAGGGGUUAAUUUCUGCUUCCUGAGCAUUUAGUUUGUUUUCCUGUCGACUCAUACGGUAGCUUCCCCUUUUUUUUUUGUUACAUGUAUCGAGACAGAAAGAUUUGUGUCGGGAACAGGGUCAUCUUUGAGAGAACCAAUGCAAGUACGGUGUCACUGACCAGAUUCUAGAAAUGGCAAUUUACGAAGGGACUUGGUUCUUUUGUGCGUCUGGCUAGAGUGUAUGAUAUGCUGAGGGAUCUAACAGAAAAAGGAGAGAGAGAGAGACCGGUGACUGGGGGUGCCUACUUAAGCGUUAGAUGGACGUUGUGGUAGUAGUGGGUCAGUGAGUGUGACCACACUGGUGAUAUGCGCCACUGUAAAGUUCACGUGCCUCUGAAAUUUUGCAAGUCAAGUUGGUCUUUUUUU